CAAGUACUCCCUCCGUCUGAAAAAGCUUGUCCCUCAAAUGGAUGUAUCACCAAGUUAGUGUUAGACUCAUCCAUUUGAAAGACAAGCUUGGGACAAGCUUUCUCGGACGGAGGGAGUAGGAG
Molecule: non-coding RNA, 122 nt
Organism: Triticum aestivum (bread wheat)
Lineage: Eukaryota; Viridiplantae; Streptophyta; Magnoliopsida; Poales; Poaceae
Source: Rfam